Molecule: ribosomal RNA, 254 nt
Filed under: uncultured bacterium
Lineage: Bacteria
Description: partial 16S ribosomal RNA
Rfam family: Bacterial small subunit ribosomal RNA
Source: RNAcentral
UACGUAGGGUGCGAGCGUUAAUCGGAAUUACUGGGCGUAAAGCGUGCGCAGGCGGUUCGUUGUGUCGGCGGUGAAAGCCCCGGGCUCAACCUGGGAAUGGCCGUUGAAACUGGCGAACUGGAGUGUGGCAGAGGGGGGUGGAAUUCCGCGUGUAGCAGUGAAAUGCGUAGAGAAUGCGGAGGAGCACCGAUGGCGAAGGCAGCCCCCUGGGCUGACACUGACGCUCAGGCACGAAAGCGUGGGGAGCAAACAGG